Molecule: transfer RNA, 72 nt
Filed under: Streptosporangiaceae bacterium
Lineage: Bacteria; Bacillati; Actinomycetota; Actinomycetes; Streptosporangiales; Streptosporangiaceae
Also listed under: 2 other names
Description: tRNA-Arg
Rfam family: tRNA
About the family: Transfer RNA (tRNA) molecules are approximately 80 nucleotides in length. Their secondary structure includes four short double-helical elements and three loops (D, anti-codon, and T loops).
Source: RNAcentral
GCCCCCAUAGCUCAGGGGAUAGAGCAUCGGCCUCCGGAGCCGUGUGCGCAGGUUCGAAUCCUGCUGGGGGCG